CAGUAGCGUAUAUUAAAGUUGUUGCAGUUAAAAUGCUCGUAGUUGAAGUUCGGAUGCAGCAGAGCUUGGAAACGCUGUUAUGGUGCUUCCGUUGCUUUUGCUUGUCCACAGUGCGUUGCAAGUACGUAUGUGCUUGUGCGUGCAUUUUACUUUGAGAAACAUAGGGUGUUCCACGCAUGUUACGGCAUGAAUAUUCCAACAUGGGAUAAUCUGGUACGACUUCCAAUCUGCCAUUUUGGUUCGUAGGUUGGAAGUAAUGAUUAAUAGGGACUGUCGGGGGCAUUGGUAUUUGACUGUCAGAGGUGAAAUUCUUAGAUUCGUUGAGGACCAACCACUGCGAAAGCAUUUGUCAAGGAUGUCUCCAUUAA
This 368-nucleotide ribosomal RNA is filed under the name uncultured eukaryote. RNAcentral describes it as "partial 18S ribosomal RNA". It matches the Rfam family "Eukaryotic small subunit ribosomal RNA", at positions 592 to 976 of the family's 1831-position model. The record is from RNAcentral.